Strigops habroptila (Kakapo) is the source of this 1553-nucleotide long non-coding RNA. The record is from Ensembl. NCBI's taxonomy places the organism in Eukaryota, Metazoa, Chordata, Aves, Psittaciformes, Psittacidae.
AGAUGUUCUAAAGAUAAGCAUGAACUUAACUUGGAAAACACUAAUGACCCUGGAAGGCUCCCACAAUGGGAAGCAUAUGUAAGAUGCCCUUGGAGUAUUGCAAGAAAGGAAUGUAGGGAGUAGCUUUAUGGUUAAUGGUUGCAGCUAUGAGCUAUGGGAGAGGAGGGACACUCCAAUUAAGAUAACAGGGUUUUGUGGAGAUGGGCACCCAGAAAGUAAACAGUAGUAUCAGGAGCCCAGAAGAUAAAGAAAACAAAAUGGGUUUGCUCCUAAUGCUGGCUGAUCUGAUCUGCAGCGAAGAUGGGUCUGUUCUUGAGGGUAGAGUCCUUGUAAGCACUCAACCCAAUGUUUAUGACAACUGUAAUCUUUCACCACAAAUGCUUAAUAGCUGCUAGUGCUUAAUAACUCACUGUUGCUCUACUGAGUUGCUGUAUGAACAUGAAUUGGGAUUAGGUUUCAGAAGGGAAAUUAUUAGUUCUACUAAUCAUGUUGUCCAGCAGCUCUAUCUAACUUUGAGCACCAGGUCACAGCAAAGACAGGAUUUCAUAGUUUUUGUAUCCCAGACAAGUUACUGGGGAAAAUUUUUCAAGUAGAGCCAAUGACAACUGCUGUAAAAGGUGUAAUUUUGCAGCAUUUACAUUUACAGCAUUUACAACAUUUACUUUAGUGUUUUCAGGUAAGUUUAACUAUGUUGAUUUGCUGAUAUAUUCCCUGGGGUGGGAGCUUAUUGGAUAAAACAGAGUAAGUCAUUAUCCAGUAAUCACUAACUGUAUUCCAAUCUAUUAGCAAUACAUCUGCUUUCUCAUUUACCUCUAGCAUGUUUUCCAUCUGCGAUGACAGAAGCUGUAAAUAGCUCUCUAAGGAAAGAAGAGAAUCUACAUGGUUGCGGUUGCUCUGUGACAGAAGAAACAGAAACACUUUGUAAAGCACAGUUAUUUUACAUAAAAGGAGGUAAAAAUCCAAGUCUGAGAGGAAAUAGAGCACAGCUCUGUGAAAUACCGCUGCUGACCCCUGCCAUCAAGUCUUUGUCCUGAUGGGAGAUGUCAAGCUGCUAGAACAAGCAGAAUAACUCCAUGGCAGGAACAUCCAUACUCUGUCCCACGACAGCAGAACUGGACUUCCCUCCUCUCCAAGGCUGCACUUACUAACCCACCACUGUGGAAAAUUCAAGUGUUUUGUCAAAGCCUAGCUGCCAGGGCAGUGGUGAACAGAGGGGCUGGCAAGAAACCUGGAUCCGAUGUUCUCAGCUCUUGAAACGUCACAAAGAGAUUGAAUGGUCUUUUCAUUGUAACUCCCAGAAGAACAAACCCCAAAGUGCAGAUGUUUCGGUUUAACAUUAUUAUUUCUCCACCUUAUAGUUACAAUAGUCACGUUAAGAUCUGAACAAUCCAUUUUCCCAAAUGUAUUUCUACAUCUGAGCAUCAAUCUUUACAUGAAUGGUGAAAACAGUGUAAUUUAGUAUCUACACCUCUAGUGUUUGUAGUUCCCCAAAAAAUCCUUGCCCACAAAUGCACCACCUUCAUGAUGGAUAAAAUAAAACCAAUUUGACAAAU